RNAcentral lists this ribosomal RNA (406 nucleotides) under uncultured bacterium. RNAcentral describes it as "partial 16S ribosomal RNA". It matches the Rfam family "Bacterial small subunit ribosomal RNA", at positions 30 to 526 of the family's 1533-position model. The record is from RNAcentral.
AUUGAACGCUGGCGGCAGGCCUAACACAUGCAAGUCGAACGAGUGGCGGACGGGUGAGUAAUGUCUGGGAAACUGCCCGAUGGAGGGGGAUAACUACUGGAAACUGUAGCUAAUACCGCAUACCAUCGGAUGUGCCCAGAUGGGAUUAGCUAGUAGGUGGGGUAAUGGCUCACAUAGGCGACGAUCCCUAGCUGGUCUGAGAGGAUUACCAGCAACACGGGAACUGAGACACGGCCCAGACUCCUACGGAAGGCAGCAGUGGGAAAUAUUGCACAAUGGGCGCAAGCCUACUGAAGCCAUGCCGCGUGUAUGAAGAAGGCCUUCGGGUUGUAAAGUACUUUCAGCGGGGAGGCGUUACCCGCAGAAGAAGCACCGGCUAACUCCGUGCCAGCAGCCGCGGUAAUAC